RNAcentral lists this ribosomal RNA (466 nucleotides) under uncultured bacterium. RNAcentral's name for it is "partial 16S ribosomal RNA". It matches the Rfam family "Bacterial small subunit ribosomal RNA", at positions 29 to 506 of the family's 1533-position model. The record is from RNAcentral.
ACGAACGCUGGCGGCGUGCUUAACACCUGCAAGUCGAACGGAAAGGCCCUGCUUUUGUGGGGUGCUCGAGUGGCGAACGAGUGAGUAACACGUGAGUAACCUGCCCUUGACUUUGGGAUAACUUCAGGAAACUGGGGCUAAUACCGGAUAGGAGCUCCUGCUGCAUGGUGGGGGUUGGAAAGUUUCGGCGGUUGGGGAUGGACUCGCGGCUUAUCAGCUUGUUGGUGGGGUAGUGGCUUACCAAGGCUUUGACGGGUAGCCGGCCUGAGAGGGUGACCGGCCACAUUGGGACUGAGAUACGGCCCAGACUCCUACGGGAGGCAGCAGUGGGGAAUAUUGCACAAUGGGCGGAAGCCUGAUGCAGCAACGCCGCGUGCGGGAUGACGGCCUUCGGGUUGUAAACCGCUUUCGCCUGUGACGAAGCGUGAGUGACGGUAAUGGGUAAAGAAGCACCGGCUAACUACGU